RNAcentral lists this long non-coding RNA (919 nucleotides) under Equus caballus (horse). Its description in RNAcentral is "lncRNA (ENSECAG00000058563.1)". The record is from RNAcentral. Lineage: Eukaryota; Metazoa; Chordata; Mammalia; Perissodactyla; Equidae.
CUUGAUUACAUGUUUUUCCUGUUUCCAGCAUCUUCCAUAAUUAUAUGGAGUAAGUGAAUUGACAGGUUGACUUCUAGAGGUCCUUCUGUUCUUUCUCCUCUUGCCUCUGGGCAGGAGAGCAACAGAACAAAGUAUUUUGCCAAGAACAAUAGCACACGAUACUUAGAACGUCACAAAAUGUGUAUUUGCACGGCUAGGAGAACAGCUUGGGAACUCAUAUAGUAACAUAAGCAAUUAAGAGAGACAGGCACACAAUCUGCUCUGAGGAUCCGGGGCCGCAGGGGGCACUGAAGCACAGUUUGUGCAUUUCCAGAAGUUCAAUGUCUUCUUCAAAGAGUCUGAUCAAACAGGUGAACAUCAAGUGGAAAUAUUUUGCCUGCUUUCCUGACACUGUGGGAAUCCAUAACAAUGGGAUGUUUGAAGAGCUUUUCUGAGACUAUGUUGAGGUCUGGCUGGGCUUCCUUUGUGUUCCAGCUGCUGCGUGGAACAGCCUGGUUUUGUCUUUGUUCUUGUAAGAAGGAAAGCAAACACAAGAUGCCUAGUCUGAGAGAUAAUGAAGACCAUGGCAAGAAGGAAAUCUUUGAUCCUUGUUUCUCCCUCACCACCACCCUACCCCAUCAUGAAGCCCGUCUUCCUCCCUGCAUCCCCAUUGCCGUUACACUCAGCCUUUGCUUGGGCUACGGCAGUAGCUCAUUUGUCUCCCCGUUCCCACCCUUGCCUCCAGUCUGCUUCCCACACAGCAGGCAGAGUAAUAUUUUUAAAAUGCAAAUCUGAAUAUGUGACUCUGGUUAAAUACCAUCAAGGCUCCCCAGUGCUCUUUGAAUCACGGCCAAAAUCUUUAACCAGAACGUUAAGGCACUUCAUGGUCUGACCCGUCUGCCUCCUCAGCCUCAUUUUGCCUAACUCCUCCCUUUUUCUG